Cavia porcellus (domestic guinea pig) is the source of this 6571-nucleotide long non-coding RNA. RefSeq lists it as uncharacterized. The transcript has 2 exons. Lineage: Eukaryota; Metazoa; Chordata; Mammalia; Rodentia; Caviidae. The record is from RefSeq and is a predicted model, not a curated record.
CCUGCCUCAGCCUCCUGAGUGCUAGGAUUACAGGUGUGUGCCACUAUGCCCAGCUGGAAUUUUUUUAUUUGUUUGUUUGUUUUUAGGUUUCUUGAGAUAGGCUAUUGCUUUAGCUUUGUCUGUCCUUGAACUGAAUAUGGAACCCAGGCUAACCUGGAACUCAUGGUGAUUCUCCUGCCUCAGCCUCCCAGGUACUAGGAUGACGGGUGUGCCCUAACAUACCCAGUAGCCCUACUGGUAUGAAGGACAGACUUGCUGAAAGGGUCUCACUGGGUAAAAUUGGGAUUGGACAGGUCUGCAUCCUGUUGGAGGCUCUGCAGGAGAAUCCACCCGACUCUUUCUACUCUAUGCACUAUCACAUUCCUCCACUCCCCUACCCAAGAUGAUCAGCAUCCGGAAGCAGCCUUAAUGUGCUGUCACCUCUACGAUGAUUCUGCUCUUCCCCCUUUCAUCCUGAAGGAGCCUUAGGAUGACACAGCCCCUACUGAAACAGGCGAGGGGAACUGCCCUCUGCUGAGGUCAGCUAGGGGCUGGCUGGUGUAGCUCAGUGGUCCAGGGCUUGCCUAUACACUACACCCAGGCCCCAGGAUUCAUUCCCGGUGGGACACACACACACCCUUAUUAUCAACUUUAAUUCCACCUGCAGCUUUAACACCACCACAGGCUCCCAGGGCAGGGCACUGCCGUACCUUCACCUCUGCCUUAUCAAUGGAAGACACGACAAAGCCACACAUUCCACUCAAGGGAUGCAGAGAGACCAUUUGACAAAACCCAACACUGGGCAAAUGCCACCACCUGGUAACAGGCACCCGUGACAAGCCCACAGCCAACAUCAGAUGGCCAAAGCCGAUGUUUCCCCUCUAAACUGAAGAUAAGACAGGGUGCUCACGCCUGACACUUCUGCUCAACCUCAUCCUGCAUUUCCUGUUACAGGCAAGACAAAGAAAUAAAAGGAAUUCCGGUGGGAAGGAGGAAGACUACCUUUAGCUGUAAGUGACUGCAUUAUUACAUGCAGAAUACCCCAAGGAAUCCACUGAAAGUUAAAACUAAGAACUUUAGCAGGCUGGCAGGGUACAAGAUCAACAUUCAAUAAUUAAUAUAUCUCUAUAUGCCAUGAACACAUAACCUAAAAUGAAUUUAAGACAAUAAUUGUUUUACAUUACUGAGGUUUGAACUUGUGACUUCGUGCUUGCCAGGAGGGUGCUUGUGCCACUGAGCUAAAUUCCCAGCCUUUUAAGACAAUAAUUGCAUAUACGUUACUAUUAAAAAGAACACCAAAGAAUAAAUUUAACAACAGUAAAUACUUACAACUCUAAAAACUAUAAAAUGUUGAAAGAAAUAAAAAAUCUAAAUAAUCAGAAAGAAAACCAUAUGCUAGGUUUCAUGGUGCACAACUGUAAACUGAGUUAUUCAGAAGGCUGAGGCAGGAGGAUCACAAGUUCAAGGCCAGUUUAUGGACUCAGCAAGACUCUAUCUCAAAAAAUUCAGGAAGAGGUGGAGAUGUAGCUAAGUGUAAAGGCCCUGGGUUAAAAUCCUAUCGCACACAUACACCUCACUUCCGUGUCCAUAGAUCAGAAGAGGUGCUAGGUGGGAUAAAAAAAAUACAGUGAAUGUUUAAGUCUAAAACCUUAUUACAGUAGCAGAUUGUGCUCAACCCCCUCGGUUUGGGCACACAUAUUGCAAUGUUCUUGCCCAUCUCUGAAGCAAUUAUGCAAAUCCUCUUUCACAAGCGCUUUAUAGUGCUGUUGUGGCUACCUGGGUGUUUUCCAUGGAUUCAGAACGUUUCCCUCUCACGAUCAUUUUAACUUUCAGGAAGAGCCAGAGGUUGAUCGGUGGCAGAUCCAAACGGGUGGGUGAGGACCGCUGCCGUGUUUUCACAAGCUGCCUUUCUAUUAGAUGGCACUUGGCAGCAACAUUCACUGUAUUUUUGAUCACAUGUUAGAAAGACGGAAAAAGCGUUUCCAGACUGCUUCAGAAGUUGGAAAGAACGGUGGAGUUAAGUGUGUUCAAAAUGUGGAGGGAUUAAGGAUUAUGUCUUUUACUUAAGAUUUUUUUAGAAAUUUAAACAUUCAUUGUGUACUUGGAUCACAGUGGGUAAACGUGAAGACCGCAAUACUCCAAUACCUCCAGAUCCUGGUAUUUACAUGAGAUCUGAGGACCAGGCAGGCAGCUCGGGGAGGUCUGGGACGGCCACAGACCUUACUUCCCGUCUGACCCUGCUGGCCGCCUUCCCAGCUGUGACCGCGUCCCGCACCAGGUCUGUGACUCUCGCAGGAAUCCGGGGCUGCAGGCGCAGGGCGGCUUUCCCUUCCACGGAAAUCCGGCUUCGCAGUUUUGUGACCGGCAAGUCGCGACGCUAGAUGGCAGUGUCACACCGGUCUCCCGGUGCGGCUGCUCCCCGGAGGGCAGGCUCCGGACGGCUCCGGCGCCGGGUGGGGUCGCGGGUGUCUGGGGAGCUCACGAUUGCUUAGACGCUCUGGAUGAAGCGCUGACCGGCCAGGCGUGCCAGGGUCACUGCUGGAGCUGCGCACAGCGCUCCGCUCUGCCGUCCUCUCCUGCUGAGCGCUGGGACUUCUGGAGGAGGAGGAGUGGACCGGGCGGCUUAGGCUCCACUUCCGAUUCCAUGGAGCAUUGCGAAGGACCAGGACAGGCUGCGUCCACCUGUCGUGCUGCUCCUCGCAGGCUGAGACAGGGACCUGUACAGAGGACCCUGAGGAUGCACUGGACACCUCAAGACGCCCACGGCCGCGACGGGGCUCAUUGUUCAGGAGGACGGUCUGUGUGCAGGUGGUGACACGGGGUUUUUCAAAUGAUCGAGAAACUGUUCCUUGGUCCUUUUUUGUUAAUAUGCACAGGAAAACAUAAAGCAGACACAUACUUACAAACAACCGGUAUUCUGUGUUUAUUACCGUGGAGUGGGGAAAGCGGUUCAUACUCGAUUAACAAUGAACGAAUGACCAUGAGGAAACAGUAACGCAGGAGAAACAGAAAUAAACGCGAAAUCAAAAGGAGCUGCUUUUCCCGCAAGUAAUCAACUUUAAGAUACAGAGCAUUCUGAAGCAAGCACUCGGCCAUAAACACUUUCGUUUCAGCUGGUUUGUGGCAAUACUCGACGGGUUGGCCACCUCCGAUCUCAGAACCUGUCCCUGGUGUAAUCAGGGCUGGCCAGUCCACAAGUAUGACCAAAAUUCCAGGCAGCUGAGAGGGGCAGUGCUUUUGUUAGAUUUUCCUGCAUUUCUGGGUGAAACAGCAGGGCUCUCUGGCCAUCCCAUUGCUUUCCUGCCCUCCCAACGGCCAACCGGCUGGUCUGCUGCUAUUGUACAUCAGAGUAGGUGUCCCAGGCAGGAUCACAGCCACAGUUGCAGAGGUACAGUGCUCACCGCCACUGAGGCCAUUACUGAGUCCAAAACAGACUCAACAGGAGGAAGCCAUGGCAGAGGCAUGGUGCCACAGCUGCAUUACAGAUGAGGAAACUGAGUCCUGUAUGGGAUGAAGUAGCAAACAGUGGCUGAAGACCGUGCCGAACCAAGCAUUCUAUCAGACUGACCUGUAAUCAGUGGGCAUUCAUGGAAGAGCAGAAUCCGGAUCUGAGGACAGUAAGUAACAACAGCCUCCACAGCAUCAUCAGUCAAGUGAACGCAGUGUCCCAUGUGAAUCUCCUAAUUAUGGAAAGAAAAAAAGAAAGGAAGAAAACCGAUCAACAAUGACAGUGUACAGAUGUGUGAAGGUCACACUGAUACACAACAGGCAAGCAUUUACUAGUGAAAAAAAACCAAAACAAAUGUACAUUGGAUUAACUACUGUUAUUAUCUUAGUAUUUUAUUAUGAAGUUUUGUUUUAUUUUUUCAUAAAACCAAACCAAACCAAAAACUAUGUAGAAAGUAACAAUGUAAGUCUGAAGAAAUGAAGAUACCUCUUUGUCAGAGUGGAAAGAACUCUCCAACAUGUUAAGAGCUUGUGGGAAAUAGUACUGCUGUAUCUGAUAGAGCUGAACAUGUGGUAUACAUCCAGCUAUUUCACUCCCAGCUACUUAGCCAAGAAACAUGAAAAUGUAUCUAAACAAAGACAUGGGUGCAAAAUGUCCACAGCGAUAUUUAUAAAAGUCCAAAGCUGAGAGACCCAAAUGCCCAUUACACGAGAAAAGUAUAAACAAAUUAUGGCAGUUACAUUACAGAAUCCACUCAGCAACAAAAAGGGGCCUGGCAUCCCCAAAGCAGCAACGUGCAUGAAUCUCAGAGACACCACACUGAGCUGAAUGAAAGAGGUAGCGAGAAAGAAAGGGAGACCAGGGACCAUGCAGUACACCCAUCUGCGCUGGGACAGAAGGCUGGUGUACACUGAUCCAAGCCUUUCUACAGGGCGGGACAACAUGGCUAUACAGAGAAUGAGAGUGGUGAGAGAGAGGCUCAGCUGAUGCAAAAGGAAUACCAGCCAGACAUGAGCUUCUGAUCAGCGUGCGCACAGAGAGCAACCUGCACAAUCAGUGUACAUCAGGAGCCUCCUCGAAUAUGUGAGAAGCUAAAACUUCUGGGAAGUCAGAUUUUCACCCAAAUUUUAAUGUGAUUUUGUCUUUUCAGUUUAUGAAUUUUUAUUUACUUUGGGAAUAAAGAAGUUGAGCCAAAAAGUUGACCGUGGAAUACCUGAUUGAUGAGACAUUGGUCAGCUAGGUUUAAGAAAUAAUUUCUGAGAAUGACAUAAAAUUUAGUUAUCACUACUACUAAAUAUGUAAAAGUUACCUCUAAUUUCUUGGCACAGGGUCCACUAACGAGGGCAACCACACCACUGUCUGACACCUACACAAUGAGAAAAAGAAACAGCCAGGAGUAAACAGCUGAAGGAGGCAGAGGUUCCUGAAAUUUAUCAAUUGUUUAGAUUCACACUGCCUUCUGUCGAGCAAACUUUGAGUGUUCCUUAUACAUACUUCCCAUCCAUGAUAUUUAAAAUAAGGGGGACAUCCAAAUUAAAUCACAAUUACUUAGCUACCCAAAUGUGAAAUGGCCAACCCCUUCCACAACAGAAAGAAUGAAUGAUUCCUGACUGGUCACAAAGUACUGGGGUCACACGUGGGGUCAUGUGAUCUUGACAUUUUAGGCACACUGAUUACCUGUGUAGCUGAAAAGUCCACACACUUCAAAAGUGAGCAGUUCUCUCCUAAUGCACACAGAGACACAUCGGUAAUACUGAGGCAGCCACCUAAGUCAAUGAUCUUGAGCAGCCGGCAGUUGAGCGCGAGAGCGAGGACUCCUUCAUCAGUGAGGCUGUGACACCUUUUCAGAGAAGCUUCUUGCAGAUAAGAACAAGAUGAAGCCACAGCUUUUAUUCCUGGGGGAACACAGAUCUUGGCUGCCUGGAUACACACGUGUGCGCUACGAAGUUAGCGUCCCCAAAUAGUCUCCUGAUAGAACUUCUGCCGGGAAGCAUGGCAGAGCCAAUGGUACCCCUUCCACAGGACCAGACACAACUGUGCCCACAAGGCCUGUGAGGUGAGGACGGGGGCCAAUUUUACAAGGAGUAUGUUGGCACUUUGGGGAAUGAGCAGAGGCUCCUGACAUCUGAACUCACUUUGUAGCCCAGGAUGGCUCAAACUUAUGAUCUUCCUGCCUCAGCCUCCCAAGUGCUGAGAUUACAGGUGUGCACUACUGUUGUGAUCUAACCAAAACACCGCCAUACUGUUCUGUAUGCGUCAUCACCCUGUUUGCUGUGCUAACCUUUGGGAGGGACAAUUGUUCCCAAAAACAGAUGGCCACAAGCUACCCACAUUCUGUCUUAAUCCUUGGCCCCAUAACGAAAAACAGAUGUUCCUGGAAUUAGCUGACCACAGGCUGCAAGUUCCUGUAAAGGAGGACUUGCUGACCACCAACUGUGGAACUUCCUCUAAAAAUCUGUCCUCAAGCAAAAAGUGGACAAAGGUCUUCCUCAACCUUACUCCUCUCUCACCCCUUACUUUACUGUUUUUUCCUUUAUAAGCCUGACAAAAAUCUAACCUAGUUACACAGCUUUGCAAAUUCCAACUGCACUGUGUCGCUGGGUAUCAGCUUAAAUAAAGUGUUCCUUUUUCUUUUAAAAAAUGUUUUGCCCUGUUUUUGGACAACACCUUGGGGUCUCAUUUUUGGGGUACAACAGCUACCACACCUGGUGUAGCAUUUUUAUAAGAUCUAUAGGUAGGAGUUACAAAAGUGACAUAGCUUGGCUGUCUUUGACUAGUUAGCAAGGUGAGAUCAUCAGUUGUAAGGCUAGGUUAGUAAUUACAGAGUCUGCUAUUGUGAGGGCAUUCAUAACCCCACUGUUUGCUUUCUUUUCUUUGCCCCUUUCCCUUUAAAACUCCCCAAAUCCUAGUCUUGAAAACUUCAUUUACUUUAUAGCUUUGGUGCUUAGCUAGCAGUUAGACUUUAAACAGUUAGUGAACUUCGGCAAAAUCUCUAAAAGGCCUCUUCCUCUCCCUUAACUGGCCAUUGAAAACUACAGAAAGAGAAACAAAAGGUUUCAUCUCAAGGUGACCAAACUGCCCAGUUCCCACACUCUGUGACAAUUAACCAGAUGUGUAAGGAGGUCUUGCAACAUUCCAAAGCAA